CCGGAAUCGCUAGUAAUCGCGGAUCAGAAUGCCGCGGUGAAUACGUUCCCGGGUCUUGUACACACCGCCCGUCACACCAUGGGAGCCGGGAAUGCCCGAAGUCAGUGGCCCAAACCGAAAGGGGGGAGCUGCCGAAGGCAGGCCUGGUGACUGGGGUGAAGUCGUAACAAGGUACC
RNAcentral lists this ribosomal RNA (176 nucleotides) under uncultured bacterium. Its description in RNAcentral is "partial 16S ribosomal RNA". It matches the Rfam family "Bacterial small subunit ribosomal RNA", at positions 1326 to 1500 of the family's 1533-position model. The record is from RNAcentral.